CCUCCCCACUUUAUUUGUACGUCCCCCAUUGGUUCUGUUCUUCUGGGGAACCUAGACUGAUACAUCACUCUUGGCAUUCUUCUUUUCCAGUGUGAAGUUUGGAAGACUCAGUUGAGUUGGAGAGUCAUGUUUAAGGCUGCAAGAACACAGCCAAACAGUGCCCCCUGGAGAACAUUUGAAAUGGUUGGGAUUUCCCUCAACCAGCGCUUACUGCCUUCUGGGAACCUUAUUAGGCAGCAGUAGGAGGAUGCAUAGUUGGAGCUGAAGUACCGUCUUGCAACUGAGGCAGUCAGCUGGAAGGGCAUGCCGAUAUGCGGAGGUUAGAAGACUGGAAAUGAGGAGGAACACUUAGGUUCUUGAUAACGUUGUUAAUAUGCUGAACCAACCAUGGGCUCUCUUCCAGACUUGUUGGUAAAAUAAACGUCCUAUGAUUUAAACCA
This is a non-coding RNA of Ictidomys tridecemlineatus (thirteen-lined ground squirrel), 440 nucleotides long. Lineage: Eukaryota; Metazoa; Chordata; Mammalia; Rodentia; Sciuridae. The record is from RefSeq and is a predicted model, not a curated record.